Molecule: ribosomal RNA, 934 nt
Filed under: Halomonas sp.
Lineage: Bacteria; Pseudomonadati; Pseudomonadota; Gammaproteobacteria; Oceanospirillales; Halomonadaceae
Description: bacterial SSU rRNA
Rfam family: Bacterial small subunit ribosomal RNA
Source: RNAcentral
AUUCUGGGCGUAAGCGCGCGUAGGUGGCUAAGUCAGCCAGGUGUGAAAGCCCCGGGCUCAACCUGGGAACGGCAUCUGGAACUGCUUGGCUAGAGUGCAGGAGAGGAAGGUAGAAUUCCCGGUGUAGCGGUGAAAUGCGUAGAGAUCGGGAGGAAUACCAGUGGCGAAGGCGGCCUUCUGGACUGACACUGACACUGAGGUGCGAAAGCGUGGGUAGCAAACAGGAUUAGAUACCCUGGUAGUCCACGCCGUAAACGAUGUCAACUAGCCGUUGGGUCCCUUGAGGACUUAGUGGCGCAGCUAACGCAAUAAGUUGACCGCCUGGGGAGUACGGCCGCAAGGUUAAAACUCAAAUGAAUUGACGGGGGCCCGCACAAGCGGUGGAGCAUGUGGUUUAAUUCGAUGCAACGCGAAGAACCUUACCUACCCUUGACAUCCAGAGGACUUUCCAGAGAUGGAUUGGUGCCUUCGGGAACUCUGAGACAGGUGCUGCAUGGCUGUCGUCAGCUCGUGUUGUGAAAUGUUGGGUUAAGUCCCGUAACGAGCGCAACCCCUAUCCUUAUUUGCCAGCGAGUAAUGUCGGGAACUCUAAGGAGACUGCCGGUGACAAACCGGAGGAAGGUGGGGACGACGUCAAGUCAUCAUGGCCCUUACGGGUAGGGCUACACACGUGCUACAAUGGCAAGUACAAAGGGUUGCAAUACUGCGAAGUGGAGCCAAUCCCAUAAAGCUUGCCUCAGUCCGGAUUGGAGUCUGCAACUCGACUCCAUGAAGUCGGAAUCGCUAGUAAUCGUGGAUCAGAAUGCCACGGUGAAUACGUUCCCGGGCCUUGUACACACCGCCCGUCACACCAUGGGAGUGGACUGCACCAGAAGUGGUUAGCCUAACCUUCGGGGAGGGCGAUCACCACGGUGUGGUUCAUGACUGGGGUGAA